RNAcentral lists this ribosomal RNA (274 nucleotides) under uncultured bacterium. RNAcentral describes it as "partial 16S ribosomal RNA". It matches the Rfam family "Bacterial small subunit ribosomal RNA", at positions 523 to 796 of the family's 1533-position model. The record is from RNAcentral.
AUACGGAGGGUGCAAGCGUUAAUCGGAAUUACUGGGCGUAAAGCGCGCGUAGGCGGUUUGAUAAGUCGGAUGUGAAAUCCCCGGGCUCAACCUGGGAAUUGCAUUCGAUACUGUCAGGCUAGAGUGUGGUAGAGGGAAGUGGAAUUUCCGGUGUAGCGGUGAAAUGCGUAGAUAUCGGAAGGAACACCAGUGGCGAAGGCGGCUUCCUGGACCAACACUGACGCUGAGGUGCGAAAGCGUGGGGAGCAAACAGGAUUAGAUACCCUAGUAGUCC